AGCGAACGCUGGCGGCAGGCUUAACACAUGCAAGUCGAGCGGGCAUCUUCGGAUGUCAGCGGCAGACGGGUGAGUAACACGUGGGAACGUACCCUUCGGUUCGGAACAACUCUGGGAAACUGGAGCUAAUACCGGAUACGCCCUUAUGGGGAAAGGUUUACUGCCGAAGGAUCGGCCCGCGUCUGAUUAGCUAGUUGGUGGGGUAACGGCCUACCAAGGCGACGAUCAGUAGCUGGUCUGAGAGGAUGAUCAGCCACACUGGGACUGAGACACGGCCCAGACUCCUACGGGAGGCAGCAGUGGGGAAUAUUGGACAAUGGGCGCAAGCCUGAUCCAGCCACGCCGCGUGAGUGAUGAAGGCCUUAGGGUUGUAAAGCUCUUCUGUCCGGGACGAUAAUGACGGUACUGGAAGAAUAAGCCCCGGCUAACUUCGUG
This 435-nucleotide ribosomal RNA is filed under the name uncultured bacterium. RNAcentral describes it as "partial 16S ribosomal RNA". It matches the Rfam family "Bacterial small subunit ribosomal RNA", at positions 29 to 507 of the family's 1533-position model. The record is from RNAcentral.